Molecule: ribosomal RNA, 462 nt
Filed under: Serpentirhabdias cf. fuscovenosa VT383
Lineage: Eukaryota; Metazoa; Nematoda; Chromadorea; Rhabditida; Rhabdiasidae
Description: partial small subunit ribosomal RNA
Source: RNAcentral
CUUGUACUUUAAACGAUGUUUACUAUAAAUUUUAAAAACAAUUACUUGAUUGAGUUUUAGGUAUAAUUAGGACUUGAAUUUAAGGAAUAUUUAUAGUUUUAAGAUUUGAUGAACAAGCUAGAUUAGAACCUAGUUAGACAAAAAUUAAAAGAGCAGAAGUAAAGUUGUAUUUAAACUGUAAGGAUAUUGGCAGGUAUUUUAAAUUAUCUUUGGAGGCUGAGUAAUAAAUGAGAACCCUCAUUAGCUGCUUAAACUGUAUUCGCGUGUAUGAUCGUUUAUUUUAAUCUUAAAGGUAUUAAUAAUAGAUAUUUCUCUGUAAAAAUAGAUAAAUACCCGGUAAAUGUUUAAAGUAAAAUUUGGCCUACAAUAUUUUAUAAUGUGGAUAAUACUUUUAGCAGAGUAUUUGAAAAUGGAAAAGACAGUAAAAAAUUCUUGAUGUGUUUUUGAAGAAUGUCUAGAUAC